GAUGAACGCUGGCGGCGUGCCUAAUACAUGCAAGUCGAGCGAACAGACGAGGAGCUUGCUCCUCUGACGUUAGCGGCGGACGGGUGAGUAACACGUGGAUAACCUACCUAUAAGACUGGGAUAACUUCGGGAAACCGGAGCUAAUACCGGAUAAUAUAUUGAACCGCAUGGUUCAUUAGUGAAAGACGGUUUUGCUGUCACUUAUAGAUGGAUCCGCGCCGCAUUAGCUAGUUGGUAAGGUAACGGCUUACCAAGGCAACGAUGCGUAGCCGACCUGAGAGGGUGAUCGGCCACACUGGAACUGAGACACGGUCCAGACGCCUACGGGAGGCAGCAGUAGGGAAUCUUCCGCAAAGGGCGAAAGCCUGACGGAGCAACGCCGCGUGAGUGAUGAAGGUCUUCGGAUCGUAAAACUCUGUUAUUAGGGAAGAACAAAUGUGUAAGUAACUAUGCACGUCUUGACGGUACCUAAUCAGAAAGCCACGGCUAACUACGUG
RNAcentral lists this ribosomal RNA (497 nucleotides) under uncultured bacterium. RNAcentral describes it as "partial 16S ribosomal RNA". It matches the Rfam family "Bacterial small subunit ribosomal RNA", at positions 28 to 507 of the family's 1533-position model. The record is from RNAcentral.